UCUCUCUCUCUCUCUCUCUCUCUCUCUCUCUCUCUCUCUCACACACACACACACACACACAGAGAGAGAGAGAGAGAGAGAGAGCAAGAGCAAGAGCAAGAGC
This is a non-coding RNA of Podarcis lilfordi (Lilford's wall lizard), 103 nucleotides long. The record is from the annotation of a GenBank genome assembly. Lineage: Eukaryota; Metazoa; Chordata; Lepidosauria; Squamata; Lacertidae.